AGGCCGGGAGAGAGGCAGGGUCUGAUCUGUAGCUUCCGUGGCAGCUGUUGAUCAGCCGUUGCCUCUCUCUUUCUCUCCA
Molecule: non-coding RNA, 79 nt
Organism: Myotis lucifugus (little brown bat)
Lineage: Eukaryota; Metazoa; Chordata; Mammalia; Chiroptera; Vespertilionidae
Source: Rfam